UGGGGAAUCUUGCACAAUGGGCGAAAGCCUGAUGCAGCCAUGCCGCGUGAAUGAUGAAGGCCUUAGGGUUGUAAAAUUCUUUCGCCAGGGAUGAUAAUGACAGUACCUGGUAAAGAAGCUCCGGCUAACUUCGUGCCAGCAGCCGCGGUAAUACGAAGGGGGCUAGCGUUGUUCGGAAUUACUGGGCGUAAAGCGCGCGUAGGCGGACUUUUAAGUCGAGGGUGAAAGCCCGGGGCUCAACCCCGGAACGGCCUUCGAGACUGGGCAGCUCGAGACCGGAAGAGGAGGGUGGAAUACCCAGUGUAGAGGUGAAAUUCGUAGAUAUUGGGUGGAACACCAGUGGCGAAAGCGGCUCUCUGGUCCGGAUCUGACGCUGAGGCGCGAAAGCGUGGGGAGCAAACAGGAUUAGAUACCCCUGUAGUCC
This 424-nucleotide ribosomal RNA is filed under the name uncultured prokaryote. RNAcentral describes it as "bacterial SSU rRNA". It matches the Rfam family "Bacterial small subunit ribosomal RNA", at positions 355 to 796 of the family's 1533-position model. The record is from RNAcentral.